CGUGUAGGCGGUUGAUUAAGUCGGCUGUGAAAGCCCCGGGCUUAACCCGGGAAGUGCAUCCGAAACUGAUCGACUUGAGUCUGGAAGAGGGAAAUGGAAUUCCUGGUGUAGCGGUGAAAUGCGCAGAUAUCAGGAAGAACACCAGUGGCGAAGGCGGUUUCCUGGGCCACGACUGACGCUGAGACGCGAAAGCUAGGGGAGCAAACAGGAUUAGAUACCCUGGUAGUCCUAGCCGUAAACGAUGGAUACUAGGUGUGGGAGGUCGUUGACGCCUUCCGUGCCGCAGCUAACGCAUUAAGUAUCCCGCCUGGGGAGUACGGCCGCAAGGCUAAA
RNAcentral lists this ribosomal RNA (333 nucleotides) under uncultured bacterium. RNAcentral describes it as "bacterial SSU rRNA". It matches the Rfam family "Bacterial small subunit ribosomal RNA", at positions 568 to 898 of the family's 1533-position model. The record is from RNAcentral.